Non-coding RNA from Microcebus murinus (gray mouse lemur), 1256 nucleotides. NCBI's taxonomy places the organism in Eukaryota, Metazoa, Chordata, Mammalia, Primates, Cheirogaleidae. The record is from RefSeq and is a predicted model, not a curated record.
AUUCAUGACAGAGGCAUUGCUGGCCACAUAGUCCAGGGCCAGCCAGAGGUCGCAAGCCAGCGUGCCCAGAGCCCAGUGGCCCAUGAGCAGCUGAGGAAUUUGAGGCUGAGAAAAGCAAGAGAAUUUGCACAAGAUCACACAACCAGGAUCUGAGCCCAGGCAGUUUGUUCCAAUGAAACUUCAUUUAUAAAAACUGAAGGCAAGUAUGAAAUGAAGUAUAUUGAGGAAGGACAAGAUAGAUUUACAGAGCAAGAGCAAGAGCAAGAUCAAGACUAAGAGAAAGAUAUGUUCACCACAGAGCAGCAAACAGACCCCUCUGUCGUGACAAAAGGGCUGUGAUUUGUCUCGAUCACUGAGUUUUAUUGUACCUGUGAGGCUGCUGGUGGAUACCACACUUGAGUUUGCCCGAUACAACUCUUGUCACUUUGAUUUUCUGAAAUGAGUGCUGUUUAAUGCCCAUUGCACAAAGGGAGCAACUGAGGCGCAGAGAAAAUGGGGUAGAAAGGAUCAUUAGCUCAAGGUCCCCUGGCUCCUUGACUGGGUGCUGCCCCCCAUGUCACACCCGCCAGGUAGCCUGGAGCAGCUCUGUAGCCCCGGCCUGGGCAAAGACCUGCAGAGGCUCAGACCAGAGGAGCUUGCCGGCCUGAGCACUGCACCCUGCCCAGCUGCAGGCGCCUCUCAUCAGCGUGAGCAGAUUUCAAAGCUUAGCCCCUUGUCCCACAGCAGGUAGGACUAGGGUAAGGCAAGUCAGGCACUUGCUUCAGGUGCAAAAUUUAAGGGGUGCCUCAAAACUCAGUAAUUAAGAAAAUAUUUUCAUGCAAUAUUUAUAAGAAUGGCAAUUAAUGCAAAAAAGUCCAUGAUGAACAUGUUAAACAAAGACAGGAUCCAGCCCUGCACUUGCACAACAGCCCCCUAUCACUUGCCUCACUCUGAUCCUGGCCCUGGUUCUAAUAAAACUUUAUUUGCAAAAUCAGAUGGCCAGUCUAUGGGCUAUAAUUUGCUAUUUGAUUUUUUAAAAUAUUACAUUACGAUAUUAUCUUGAUUAGUGAGCCUUUUUGUCCCCCCUCCUACCCCCCCUUUUAAAUUUUGCUCUGAGGCGAGUGCCUCACUUGACUCACCCUAGUCCUGGCAUUGUGGAUCCCAGCCUUGGGUUGUCCCUUUCUAGCUGUGUGACCAUCAGCAAUCACUCCGCUUUCAUUCCCCUGCUACCCUCAUUCCCCAGCUGAGGGGGAUAAUAGCGUUCAAAGCUCCUGGCA